GGGGGCCUCAUGCUACCAAGAAUGAAGAAUCAGGAGGGGAAUGGGGUCCUUGUGCUGAGAAGCUCCUAGACCAGUAGAAGAUUGAUGACAAGGACCUUCCCACAGAGCUGUCAGAGACAGAAAGCCUUCCCUCGGAGCUGACACUCUGAAUUUGGCCUUCUAGCCUUUUAGACUGUGCGAGAAUAAAUUUCUUGGUCAAAGCCAUGUGCUUGUGGUAUUUCUGUUACAGCAGCACUAGAUAAGUAAGAUAGAAUUUGGUACUAGAAAAGUGGGUGUUCUGUUCUAACAGAUAUAUAAAAUUUGAAAGAGGUUUCAAAACUGAAUGGUAGAAGCUGGAAGAGUUUUAUAGCACCAAAUACUAAAAGCCUAGAUUGCCUUGAAGAGACUGUUGGUAGAAUUCUGAACAUCAGAAUGGUGGGGGCUGAAAAGGAAGUGAGGAGAGCUGUAACAUCAGAGAUGGUGCAAAUGGCAAGAAGCAGCAGCAAAGAAAUGGCAAUAACAGAACCAGGAGACCAGUGUGAGACAGCCCUGGAGCUACCCCACAGAGUGAGAGGGCUGAGUGCCUUUGUGCAGGAGGCUUCCUGGUGGAGUGGGGUGCCUUCAGGCACUUGUUGGUGGAGCCAGGCUUGCUGAUCCAUGGAGCAAGAGAGCUCAGUACCUUCCAGCUGAGGUUUACUGGCGGGGUGGGGUACCUGCUGGCACUUAUCAGUAGAGCUAAAGAGCUUUGGAAUGCUUUUCCCAGAAGGGCAAACACUGGAACAGCACAAGGGCCUGAGAGGCCAAGGAACAAGGAAGCAGAGGCUGAAGAGAAAAGGAACACAAGAAUCAGAGUUGCCUCAGUCUCAAAGGGUAGGGCCACAGCCUCUGGGGUUUGAAAGGGUGGAGCCACGGUCUCCUAGGUUUCAAAGAGCCAGGUCUUCAUCAGUUCGGUUCCAGAGAGUGGGGCUGCCUUUCACGAGUGCCACUAGAAUGGGUUGGAUCUACUGCCCAAAGCUGAGUGGAUGGGGUUGCCAUGCCCUACCAGGGCCAAGGGGGUAAGGCUGGCACUCAGAUGGACUAGGAAAUGGGACCGCCCAAAUGCGAUGGAGCAGAGUUGCCAUUCCAGUGGGCCUGGAAGACGGAACUGGAGUCCAGGGCCUAGGAGCCUCCACCCAGAAUCCAGAGAGUGUGGCCAACACCCAGAGACCAGAGGGCAGGGCCACUGCCUAAAUGGUCUCAGAGAAUAGAGGGUUAUUUUCAAGCCUUGAGAGCUAAUGUAAUAUGUUCUGCUGACUUGCUUGGUGCCUGUUGUCCCUUCUUUCCCUUCUAUUUCUACCAUUUGUAAUGGAAAUUUUCUAGCUUGUGGCUGUUCCACUAUUGCAUUUGGGAAGCAGAUAACUCGUAUUCUAGAUUUCGCAGAUGAAGAGGCAUUUUGCAGAAGAUGAGAUUCUGUAUUUGUAGUCGAUUUAAGACUCUUAGGAUAAUAUGAUGGUGUGAAUGUGUUUUACAUUUGGCAAGAACAUGAAUUUUUGGGGGCUGCCUUAGUUACCUAGUGCUGGUAUAACAGAAAUACCACAAGUGGAUGGCUUUAACGAAAAGUUUAUCGUCUCAGAGUUUAAGAGACUAGAUUUCCAAAUUCUGGGUGCCAGAUCCAGGAGAAGGCUCUCUCUUUCUGUCAGCUCUGAGGGAAGGUCCUUGUCAUCAAUAUUCCCCUGACCUAGGAACUUCUAAGUGCAGGGACCCCAGGGCCAAAGAAAAUGCUUCCCUCCUGGUUCUUUAUUCUUGGUGGUAUGAUGUCCCCCUGUCUCUCUACUGACUUCUCUCUUUUAUAUCUCAAAAGAGACUCAAGAAACAAACUAAUCCUGUAGACUGAGUGCUGCCUCAUUAACAUAACUGGCUCUAAUCCUGCCGCGUUGAUAUCUUAGAAUUAGGAUUUACAACACCUAGGUGUUUUAGUCAUCUAAAUAAUAGCUUUCGGCAAUGGAUCUGGCCUUGUCCGUCUAGCACUAGUGAACACCAUCCCCGAACUCCAGAACUGAGUUGGUGAAGAUCUGACUCUUUGAACCUAGGAGCCUGUGGCCUCACCCUUUGAAACCUCAGAGGCCACGGCUCCACCCUUUUUACCCCAGAGGUCAUGGCCCUACCCUUUGAGACUGAGGCAACUCUGAUUCUUGUGUUCCUUGUCUCUUCAGCUUCUGCUUCCUCAUUCUUUGACCUAUCCGGCCCCUCCAGCCCUUGGGGCAGCCCAGUGUCUGCCCUGCUGGGGCAAGUGUUCCAAAGUUCUUUAGCUCCACUGAUAAGUGCCCAGAGGCACCCUACUCCGACAGGAAGCCUCCUGCACAAAGUGUCUUUGUUCUAGGACUAUUUCAACUAGAAAGGACUACCCACUACUGCAGAGUAUACAUGCCAGGGAUUCCAGACGACUGAAUCCUUCCUCUGUCCUUGACUCACUGUGUGUCCAGGGCGGAAACUUGUGCUAGAGAAGACAAGAAGUAUCUUCUCAUACAUCUGAUUGAUCCGGCCUGGUUCAAAAGCCCCACUCAGCAGCUGUAAUGGGAAAGGAUGUGAAGUCUGAGGUGGGGCUGGUCUGGCUUCCAUAAUUGGCAUCCAAAUAGUUUGAAAGAGUGAAUGAAGCUGCUGAUAUGCAAAUCAUUUAUCCCAUAAAUCCUAGUCUUCAAAGUUCCAAAACACUACCAAAAAACCAAAGAAGAUUCAGACCUGGUUGAUCCCCGCCCGAAAUUCCUCCUAAAGGCAUAACGCAGGUCAGGAAGUCCUUUUCUGCAAGUAAUUAUUAUAAGAGUAGACAUCAAAAUCUCAGAAGAAUUAGAAUGUUAGAACUGAAAGCAGCCUUCGAGGCAGGCAGAGGGCGAGAAACCCAGACAGCCACAGUAACUGGUACCAGGCUAUACUCUGCUGACUAGUGGGGAAGCCUGAGUCUCUAAAUCUUCCCAGUCUCCCGAUGUUUUCCUCUAUAUCAAAGAACUUUUUUUUUUAAGUAUAUAGGUAUUUUUUCCCAAGAAAGAAUACUAACAGAUAUUUUAUACAUUCUCACGUUAGUGGAAAUCAAGUAGGGAAAGAAAGAAUUCCCAAAGGUUUAGCCCAAUGGUUUUUCUAUUUGUCAAUUUGUUGACCUUUAUAUUUUUUAAUGUUUUUCACUGAGAGAAUGAUUUAUAUAUUCUCAGCCUAUAAUGACCCUUUUUUCCUAGGAGAAUCACCCCCUGCUCUCGUGCAGCAGUGCCCAGACACCAUAUUUACAGUGUAUGUCCCUGCCCCUCUAUAUCUCCACUGACUAAAUGAAAAAGAAAAAUUUACCCAACCUGGUUGUCUCCGUUGAUUUUGCAACUGACCUUUUGGUGAGACUCUCCUGAUUGAGAGUUGGUCUUUUGUAGCACAUACAUGAAGAAGCAAACAAAAGUGUUUCUGCUGAGAUAAGAUGGAGGCAAAGGCUCAGAGAGAAGAAGGGUUCAGAAAUGAUGGGGGGGAGGAAGAGAGAAGAUGAGAGGGUGAGAUGGAGAAAGAAUGAGAGCGUGAGAGGAGAGAGGGAAGGGGGAGAGAGAGAGAAUCCCUGCCUUAAUUCCUGAGGGAGGGGUCUGGCUUCUGUCUUUAUGAGAACUUCUAUACUCCCUACCCCUGGGAUUCAUGAGGUCACUUUAUAAUAAUCCCCUCUUUAAUUAAGGUAAUUUAAGUAGGUUUCUGUUAUUUGCAACCAAAUGAGACUUGUGUAAAGCAAAACUGCUUUACCAUAUUUGUUAAAUCCUUGUUGGACUGUUCAAGGUUACAGUUUUUAAGAGUGCCAGAAUUUCAAUGGAAUUCCACUCUGAGGCUUUGGUCAACAUUUCAGCUUCUAAUAAAUGAAUGCAGCUUUUCUUGGUGAAAGGGCAUCAGAACCAUCCUUUCGAUCUAGGACUGGAAUUUUAAUGUUCAGCUUUCCAGUGGUGAAUUUCAUGAAAAAUGGGAUCGGGCUUUUAGACUGUUAUCUUUUCACUCUAGGGGUGAUAUUUAGGUUAAUUUGAAUCUACAUGACCCCAGUCAAAUUGUGCUAAACUAAAAUAUUUGCUUGGAAACAGUUUCUUUGUAGAUCACUUACAGAGGUGGUAUUUGCUUUUGAGGUAGUGGUGUGGUUCCCAGUUUGGGGGAUGGCAAAGACGUCUUGCCUUCUUGUCUCCUGUUGCCCUCCUGGGAUGAUGAGUAGUGCUCCAAUUUUCACCUCAGCUGGGCUUUGGAGAGAUAUCCAAGUCAUCUCUUUCCCUGUCCUGCAGUUGGUGCCCCAGCAGGGUGGCAGGAGAAUGAGCAGUUCCCUGCCCCUCUGGACCAUUGCUGGGCAUGGCAGCCCGGCUCCCCCCGCUUUUCUCUCUGGAAUACUGUUGCUUACUGACUCAUGGAAAUGGUGUUUAGCUCUAUCUGCUGAAAAGAAAACCAAAUGCAUUGCUGUUGAGUUGAUUCUGAUUCAUAAACUGCCACAUAGGGUUUCCAAAGAGUGGCUGGUGGUGUUGAACUGCUGACCUUUUGG
Molecule: long non-coding RNA, 4489 nt
Organism: Loxodonta africana (African savanna elephant)
Lineage: Eukaryota; Metazoa; Chordata; Mammalia; Proboscidea; Elephantidae
Exons: 4
Source: RefSeq, a predicted model, not a curated record